AAGCAUCAGAGGGGGCUUUAACUAUAGCUCCAUGAAAGAUCCUGCACAGAGAUCUCUUGAGGAGCUGUGGACAAUACUCCCAAAAGGAAACCCGAGACCAUCCUCGGAAUUACAACAUCAUCCACUACAGCAAGGAAGCAUAAAACAGCUCAUUAGCAGCCCUAUCAAGUGACGGACCUAAAGCCAGCUCCAAAGUGCCCACACCUGUCUGCCCACACUGCCAGCCAGAAGGCCGGAUUCCACCGAGUAAAGAAUCAUUAUCCCAGCUCUACAUCUGGAUGUGGGACAGCUGCAGAGCUUCAGGGCACCACAGGUUACAAGGCCUCAUUGAGCAAAAGUUCAAACAAAGGAACCCAGAAGGAAAGCCGGGGUGGCAGCACCCACAUCUAAGCACCCUCCUGCUUCUCUGUGCCCCUCCAGCACCCAGCCAGCAGCACAGCCAUCCCGUCCAGAUGGUACCUCGCUGGCAGAGGCAUAGGGCUGACUCCUGAUCACACCUGCAGCCCUCCCUAUAGGCUAUGGGUGCUGAGAAACCCCAUCAACUAUGGGCUAAGGAAUGGACGUUGCAGCAAUGAGUCACAGACUGUGGCUCCUUUGUGUGUGUAGGAGGGCAGGCGUGGGCAGGAACCUACUAUCCAGGUUUCCUCUCCCUGCUACAGCAUUCCGAUGCUUUUUCAUCAUUUCACACUCAG
This 692-nucleotide long non-coding RNA is filed under the name Gallus gallus (chicken). RNAcentral describes it as "long non-coding RNA NONGGAT008225". The record is from RNAcentral. Lineage: Eukaryota; Metazoa; Chordata; Aves; Galliformes; Phasianidae.